Long non-coding RNA from Ixodes scapularis (black-legged tick), 220 nucleotides. RefSeq lists it as uncharacterized. NCBI's taxonomy places the organism in Eukaryota, Metazoa, Arthropoda, Arachnida, Ixodida, Ixodidae. The transcript is spliced from 3 exons. The record is from RefSeq and is a predicted model, not a curated record.
CCUGAAUAUCCCCGUCGCUGGUGCCCGAGAUCAUGGUCCAAGUGGCGUGCCAGCCCUCCAGGACUGCGACCACUCGCACUCUUCUUCUCCAGAGACCGACUGGUCACGGGAUGAAGAAAUGCAUGCGGCGGCAGGACCCAGUGGCAUGCCAGCAGUCCAGGAUUGUGACCCCUCGCACUUCCCAUCUCGCGAGACCAACUGGUCACGGGAAGAAGAAAGG